AUUGAACGCUGGCGGCAUGCCUUACACAUGCAAGUCGAACGGCAGCACGGGGGCAACCCUGGUGGCGAGUGGCGAACGGGUGAGUAAUGCAUCGGAACGUGUCCUCUUGUGGGGGAUAACCAGUCGAAAGAUUGGCUAAUACCGCAUGAGAUCGAGAGAUGAAAGCGGGGGACCCGAGGGUAACUUCGGGCCUCGCGCGAGAGGAGCGGCCGAUGCCGGAUUAGCUAGUUGGUGGGGUAAGAGCCUACCAAGGCGACGAUCCGUAGCUGGUCUGAGAGGACGACCAGCCACACUGGGACUGAGACACGGCCCAGACUCCUACGGGAGGCAGCAGUGGGGAAUUUUGGACAAUGGGCGCAAGCCUGAUCCAGCCAUGCCGCGUGUGUGAAG
RNAcentral lists this ribosomal RNA (390 nucleotides) under uncultured bacterium. Its description in RNAcentral is "bacterial SSU rRNA". It matches the Rfam family "Bacterial small subunit ribosomal RNA", at positions 29 to 410 of the family's 1533-position model. The record is from RNAcentral.